RNAcentral lists this ribosomal RNA (253 nucleotides) under uncultured bacterium. Its description in RNAcentral is "partial 16S ribosomal RNA". It matches the Rfam family "Bacterial small subunit ribosomal RNA", at positions 524 to 776 of the family's 1533-position model. The record is from RNAcentral.
UACAGAGGUCUCAAGCGUUGUUCGGAUUCAUUGGGCGUAAAGGGUGCGUAGGCGGCGCGGUAAGUCGGGUGUGAAAUCUCGGGGCUUAACUCCGAAACUGCAUUCGAUACUGCCGUGCUUGAGGACUGGAGAGGAGACUGGAAUUUACGGUGUAGCGGUGAAAUGCGUAGAUAUCGGGAGGAACACCAGUGGCGAAGGCGGUUGCCUGGAGCUUUGCUGACGCUGAUGCGCGAAAGCGUGGGGAGCGAUCCGG